RNAcentral lists this ribosomal RNA (440 nucleotides) under uncultured bacterium. RNAcentral describes it as "partial 16S ribosomal RNA". It matches the Rfam family "Bacterial small subunit ribosomal RNA", at positions 338 to 795 of the family's 1533-position model. The record is from RNAcentral.
CCUACGGGCGGCAGCAGUGGGGGAUAUUGCACAAUGGGGGAAACCCUGAUGCAGCGACGCCGCGUGAGUGAAGAAGUAUUUAGGUAUGUUAAGCUCUAUCAGCAGGGAAGAAAAUGACAGUACCUGACCAAGAAGCCCCGGCUAACUACGUGCCAGCAGCCGCGGGAAUCCGUAGGGGGGAAGCGGUAUCCGGAUUUACUGGGUGUAAAGGGAGCGUAGACGGUUAUGUAAGUCUGGAGUGAAAGCCCGGGGCCCAACCCCGGGACUGCUUUGGAAACUGUGGAACUUGAGUACAGGAGGGGCAGGCGGAAUUCCUGGUGUAGCGGUGAAAUGCGUAGAUAUCACGAGGAACACCGGCGGCGAAGGCGGCCUGCUGGACUGAAACUGACGUUGAGGCUCGAAAGCGUGGGGAGCAAACAGGAUUAGAUACCCCAGUAGUC